AGUGAACGCUGGCGGUAGGCCUAACACAUGCAAGUCGAACGGCAGCACAGUAAGAGCUUGCUCUUACGGGUGGCGAGUGGAGGACGGGUGAGGAAUACAUCGGAAUCUACUUUUUCGUGGGGGAUAACGUAGGGAAAAUUAAGCUAAUACCGCAUACGACCUACGGGUGAAAGAAGGGGAUCUUCGGACCUUGCGCGAGUGAAUGAACCGAUGUCGGAUUAGCUAGUUGGCGGGGGAAAGGCGCACCAAGCCGAGGAACCGUAGCUGGUCUGAGAGGAUGAUCAGCCACACUGGGACGGAGACACGGGCCAGACUCCUACAGGAGGCAGCAGUGGGGGAUAUUGGACAAUGGGCGCAAGCCUGAUCCAGCCAUACCGCGUGAGUGAAGAAGGCCAUCGGGUUGUAAAGCCCUUUUGUUGGGAAAGAAAAGCAGCAGGUUAAUACCCCGCUGUUCUGGCGGUACCCAAAGAAUAAGCACCGGCUAACUUCGUG
RNAcentral lists this ribosomal RNA (492 nucleotides) under uncultured bacterium. RNAcentral describes it as "partial 16S ribosomal RNA". It matches the Rfam family "Bacterial small subunit ribosomal RNA", at positions 29 to 507 of the family's 1533-position model. The record is from RNAcentral.